RNAcentral lists this long non-coding RNA (339 nucleotides) under Hordeum vulgare. RNAcentral describes it as "long non-coding RNA (HVUL_LNC006605)". Lineage: Eukaryota; Viridiplantae; Streptophyta; Magnoliopsida; Poales; Poaceae. The record is from RNAcentral.
CCAACGUAUUUUCCAAUUAGGAUAGUAUUAUAAGAAUAUGUACAUAACUCCCAGCAUUCGAAUUUUGUUUGCAUGCAAAUAUACAUCAAAUUCUUAGCAAAAUCAGCACUACAUCCAAAUUCAAAGAAAAUUCAGCAUUAGAAGAAUGUGCAUGCAUGCCUAGAUCAUGCAUGCCUUGCUUUCUUCUUACUUCUUUGUCAUAGUGCUCGCGAUGAAACAUGAAUGAAAGCCAUCAUCUGAAUGUUAUAAAAUAGAAUGAUUAAAAACAAAGAAAAGCACAUCUGACAACAUGUUAAGUUGGAUGCAGUCUGUACACAAAUAAAAAUAGAAGAACAAAAC